GGUCAAUGAUAUGUUGGCAUGUGUUACCUGAAUUUACUGCUGAUAUGUAAUUACACUUCAGCUCUAGAAUUAUACUGGGACCUU
Molecule: small nucleolar RNA, 84 nt
Organism: Microcebus murinus (gray mouse lemur)
Lineage: Eukaryota; Metazoa; Chordata; Mammalia; Primates; Cheirogaleidae
Source: Ensembl